GACGAACGCUGGCGGCGUGCUUAACACAUGCAAGUCGAGCGGUAAGGCCCUUUCGGGGGUACACGAGCGGCGAACGGGUGAGUAACACGUGGGUGACCUGCCCUCAGCUCUGGGAUAAGCCUGGGAAACUGGGUCUAAUACUGGAUAUGACUCCACGGUGCAUGUCGUGGGGUGGAAAGCCUUGUGCGGCUGAGGAGUCGGGCCCGCGGCCUAUCAG
RNAcentral lists this ribosomal RNA (217 nucleotides) under uncultured bacterium. RNAcentral describes it as "partial 16S ribosomal RNA". It matches the Rfam family "Bacterial small subunit ribosomal RNA", at positions 28 to 244 of the family's 1533-position model. The record is from RNAcentral.